This 253-nucleotide ribosomal RNA is filed under the name uncultured bacterium. Its description in RNAcentral is "partial 16S ribosomal RNA". It matches the Rfam family "Bacterial small subunit ribosomal RNA", at positions 524 to 776 of the family's 1533-position model. The record is from RNAcentral.
UACAGAGGUCUCAAGCGUUGUUCGGAUUCAUUGGGCGUAAAGCGCACGUAGGCGGUCUGUUAAGUCGGGUGUGAAAGCCCUGGGCUCAACCCAGGAAGUGCACUCGAAACUGACAGGCUUGAGUACGGAAGAGGGUCUCGGAAUUCCCGGUGUAGAGGUGAAAUUCGUAGAUAUCGGGAGGAACACCAGUGGCGAAGGCGGAGACCUGGGCCGAUACUGACGCUGAGGUGCGAAAGCGUGGGGAGCAAACAGG